GAUGGACCCAUUCCUCCUACUCUCCAUCACCGUCAGCGUCACCUGCCAUGAGAGUCCUGCUGGUAUUAGUAAUGGUGGCUGCUGUGGCUGUGGCCGUCACUAAUGGCUGGUACCUAGUGAGAUCGAACCCAAAUCAUCAAGUCGCUCCUGGCAGCGACCAUUUCCGCUAUCUGACCUCAAACACCAUCUCCUUCGACAGCAACAGCGAUGAGAGUUACUCCAAUGAAAGUAAUGAUAGUGAUGAUGAUGAUGAUGAUGAUGAUGAUGAUGAUGAUGAUUUUUGAUAUAUUUGACGUUUCGGAAGUGUUGGAUCUUAGAGUACCUUUUGCACUUCGGCUCUGACCCUCCCGUGAGCACUGCCUCCUCCCGCUACCCCCUUCAAGUGACGCCCCGUAGAUGUACUCUGCCUUAACUACCUGACCACCGACUACUCACCUGUGUGCCAUGAGUUAUCACAGUGUCAAACUUGUAAAUAAAUAAGUCUCUUAAAUCUAAUGAAUGUCUGGAAGUCUCUAAUAAUCUGUCUCAUUUAUUGUGUUCUUGGCUUAUUGACACAAUGUAAACGUCGUCUUCUUGACACACUCACACACACACACAUGCUCAAUCAAUUCCUGCCGCCCUUAACAACCUUGUGAGCUAAUUGGCUGUUCGUGGUCGAGUGACUUCAAUAUUUAAUAUCAUAAAAAAAACACUUCUUAUCAAAUUAUGCUUUACACAAGACAAAACAAAACCAAAAUGAUUUAACUAAACUAACCACUGAGUCAUUAACCAACUAACACUCAAUCACCUUUACACACUACACGUAACAAGUGGUUAGUUAACUCUUAAAUAGUCGUACAUUAAUAACCUAAGUCCAUGUAUAAAAUGUUUUGUGUCUAACUAAACCAGUUUUCAAUAUACCUGACUUGGUUUAGGUUUAUCAGAAGAUAGAUUCUAUUACUAAUGACAACACCUGAGUGACGUAGUGUGCUGGCCUCACCUACGUCAAUCAAUGUACUAAUUAAAACACCUGUAUCUCA
Homarus americanus (American lobster) is the source of this 1019-nucleotide long non-coding RNA. RefSeq lists it as uncharacterized. The record is from RefSeq and is a predicted model, not a curated record. Lineage: Eukaryota; Metazoa; Arthropoda; Malacostraca; Decapoda; Nephropidae. The transcript is spliced from 2 exons.